UAGAGUUUGAUCCUGGCUCAGGACGUACGCUGGCGGCGCGCCUAACACAUGCAAGUCGAACGAGCGAGAGGAGGUUUACUUUCUCAAGCGAGUGGCGAACGGGUGAGUAACGCGUGAGGAACCUGCCUCAAAGAGGGGGACAACAGUUGGAAACGACUGCUAAUACCGCUUAAGCCCACGACCCCGGCAUCGGGUAGAGGGAAAAGGAGCAAUCCGCUUUGAGAUGGCCUCGCGUCCGAUUAGCUAGUUUGGUGAGGUAAUGGCCCACCAAGGCGACGAUCGGUAAGCCGGACUGAGAGGUUGAACGGCCACAUUGGGACUGAGACACGGCCCAGACUCCUACGGGAGGCAGCAGUGGGGAAUAUUGCACAAUGGGGGAAACCCUGAUGCAGCGACGCCGCGUGGAGGAAGAAGGUCUUCGGAUUGUAAACUCCUGUUGUUGAGGAAGAUAAUGACGGUACUCAACAAGGAAGUGACGGCUAACUACGUGCCAGCAGCCGCGGUAAAACGUAGGUCACAAGCGUUGUCCGGAAUUACUGGGUGUAAAGGGAGCGCAGGCGGGAAGACAAGUUGGAAGUGAAAUCCAUGGGCUCAACCCAUGAACUGCUUUCAAAACUGUUUUUCUUGAGUAGUGCAGAGGUAGGCGGAAUUCCCGGUGUAGCGGUGGAAUGCGUAGAUAUCGGGAGGAACACCAGUGGCGAAGGCGGCCUACUGGGCACCAACUGACGCUGAGGCUCGAAAGUGUGGGUAGCAAACAGGAUUAGAUACCCUGGUAGUCCACACUGUAAACGAUGAUUUUUUGGUGUUGGAGGAUUGACCCCUUCAGUGCCGCAGUUAACACAAUAAGUAAUCCACCUGGGGAGUACGACCGCAAGGGUUGAAAAUCAAUGGAAUUGACGGGGGCCCGCACAAGCAGUGGAGUAUGUGGUUUAAUUCGACGCAACGCGAAGAACCUUACCAAGUCUUGACAUCCUGUGACGCACAUAGAAAUAUGUGUUUCCUUCGGGACGCAGAGACAGGUGGUGCAUGGUUGUCGUCAGCUCGUGUCGUGAGAUGUUGGGUUAAGUCCCGCAACGAGCGCAACCCUUAUGGUCAGUUACUACGCAAGAGGACUCUGGCCAGACUGCCGUUGACAAAACGGAGGAAGGUGGGGAUGACGUCAAAUCAUCAUGCCCUUUAUGACUUGGGCUACACACGUACUACAAUGGCGUUAAACAAAGAGAAGCAAGACCGCGAGGUGGAGCAAAACUCAGAAACAACGUCCCAGUUCGGACUGCAGGCUGCAACUCGCCUGCACGAAGUCGGAAUUGCUAGUAAUCGCAGAUCAGCAUGCUGCGGUGAAUACGUUCCCGGGCCUUGCACACACCGCCCGUCA
RNAcentral lists this ribosomal RNA (1375 nucleotides) under uncultured bacterium. Its description in RNAcentral is "bacterial SSU rRNA". It matches the Rfam family "Bacterial small subunit ribosomal RNA". The record is from RNAcentral.